AACUGUACCUAUUCCGAAUUUACAACAAUCGCUAACAGAGCAAUAUGACUGUAUGAUAUGAGGGCAGUGAACUAAUUGACCAUGCGGCGCUACCUUCGUGGGUUCAAAGUAGAUACAAAAUUAAGGGGGAAAUCAUAACAAAGAGUGAAUUCGGAAACCAUGGGUG
Molecule: long non-coding RNA, 166 nt
Organism: Lolium rigidum
Lineage: Eukaryota; Viridiplantae; Streptophyta; Magnoliopsida; Poales; Poaceae
Exons: 3
Source: RefSeq, a predicted model, not a curated record